GAUGAACGCUGGCGGCGUGCCUAAUACAUGCAAGUCGAACGCGAGAGGAGGGAGCUUGCUCCCUCUGAUCGAGUGGCGGACGGGUGAGUAACACGUAGGCAACCUGCCCAUCAGCCGGGGAUAACUGCGGGAAACCGUGGCUAAUACCGGAUAAUCCUCUCCACCGCGGGGUGGGGAGUUGAAAGACGGUUUCGGCUGUCGCUGAUGGAUGGGCCUGCGGCGCAUUAGCUGGUUGGCGGGGUAACGGCCCACCAAGGCAACGCUGCGUAGCCGACCUGGGAGGGUGAUAGGCCACACUGGGACUGAGACACGGCCCAGACUCCUACGGGAGGCAGCAGUAGGGAAUCUUCCGCAAUGGACGCAAGUCUGACGGAGCAACGCCGCGUGAGUGAAGAAGGGUUUCGGCUCGUAAAACUCUGUUGUUAAGGAAGAACGCCAGGUAGAGUAACUGCUACCUGUGUGACGGUACUUAACCAGAAAGCCACGGCUAACUACGUGCCAGCCGCCGCCGUAA
RNAcentral lists this ribosomal RNA (514 nucleotides) under uncultured bacterium. RNAcentral's name for it is "partial 16S ribosomal RNA". It matches the Rfam family "Bacterial small subunit ribosomal RNA", at positions 28 to 523 of the family's 1533-position model. The record is from RNAcentral.